This 431-nucleotide ribosomal RNA is filed under the name uncultured bacterium. RNAcentral describes it as "partial 16S ribosomal RNA". It matches the Rfam family "Bacterial small subunit ribosomal RNA", at positions 29 to 507 of the family's 1533-position model. The record is from RNAcentral.
AACGAACGCUGGCGGCAGGCUUAACACAUGCAAGUCGAACGCCCCGCCAGGGGAGUGGCAGACGGGUGAGUAACGCGUGGGAACAUACCCUUUUCUACGGAAUAGCUCUGGGAAACUGGAAUUAAUACCGUAUACGCCCUACGGGGGAAAGAUUUAUCGGGGAAGGAUUGGCCCGCGUUGGAUUAGCUAGUUGGUGGGGUAAAGGCCUACCAAGGCGACGAUCCAUAGCUGGUCUGAGAGGAUGAUCAGCCACAUUGGGACUGAGACGCGGCCCAAACUCCUACGGGAGGCAGCAGUGGGGAAUAUUGGACAAUGGGCGCAAGCCUGAUCCAGCCAUGCCGCGUGAGUGAUGAAGGCCUUAGGGUUGUAAAGCUCUUUCACCGAUGAAGAUAAUGACGGUAGUCGGAGAAGAAGCCCCGGCUAACUUCGUG